Molecule: ribosomal RNA, 253 nt
Filed under: uncultured prokaryote
Description: partial 16S ribosomal RNA
Rfam family: Bacterial small subunit ribosomal RNA
Source: RNAcentral
UACGUAGGGUGCGAGCGUUAAUCGGAAUUACUGGGCGUAAAGUGUGCGCAGGCGGCCGCGCAAGUCGAGUGUGAAAUCCCCGAGCUUAACUUGGGAAUUGCGCUCGAAACUACGUGGCUGGAGUGUGGCAGAGGAAGGUGGAAUUCCACGUGUAGCGGUGAAAUGCGUAGAGAUGUGGAGGAACACCGAUGGCGAAGGCAGCCCCCUGGGUCAACACUGACGCUCAUGCACGAAAGCGUGGGGAGCAAACAGG